UCCACGCCGUAAACGAUGUCUACUUGGAGGUUGUGCCCUUGAGGCGUGGCUUCCGGAGCUAACGCGUUAAGUAGACCGCCUGGGGAGUACGGCCGCAAGGUUAAAACUCAAAUGAAUUGACGGGGGCCCGCACAAGCGGUGGAGCAUGUGGUUUAAUUCGAUGCAACGCGAAGAACCUUACCUGGUCUUGACAUCCACAGAACUUUCCAGAGAUGGACUGGUGCCUUCGGGAACUGUGAGACAGGUGCUGCAUGGCUGUCGUCAGCUCGUGUUGUGAAAUGUUGGGUUAAGUCCCGCAACGAGCGCAACCCUUAUCCUUUGUUGCCAGCGGUUAGGCCGGGAACUCAAAGGAGACUGCCAGUGAUAAACUGGAGGAAGGUGGGGAUGACGUCAAGUCAUCAUGGCCCUUACGACCAGGGCUACACACGUGCUACAAUGGCGCAUACAAAGAGAAGCGACCUCGCGAGAGCAAGCGGACCUCAUAAAGUGCGUCGUAGUCCGGAUUGGAGUCUGCAACUCGACUCCAUGAAGUCGGAAUCGCUAGUAAUCGUGGAUCAGAAUGCCACGGUGAAUACGUUCCCGGGCCUUGUACACACCGCCCGUCACACCAUGGGAGUGGGUUGCAAAAGAAGUAGGUAGCUUAACCUUCGGGAGGGCGCUUACCACUUUGUGAUUCAUGACUGGGGUGAAGUCGUAACAAGGUAACCGUAGGGGAACCUGCGGUUGGA
RNAcentral lists this ribosomal RNA (728 nucleotides) under Salmonella enterica. RNAcentral describes it as "bacterial SSU rRNA". It matches the Rfam family "Bacterial small subunit ribosomal RNA", at positions 794 to 1522 of the family's 1533-position model. Lineage: Bacteria; Pseudomonadati; Pseudomonadota; Gammaproteobacteria; Enterobacterales; Enterobacteriaceae. The record is from RNAcentral.